AUGUCUCCACAUUAUUCAGAGGAUUUAAUAAAGAGAGAACAACAUUUCUUUUACCCAAGUUUUGCCUCAUGUGACUUCUCAACAGUGGAAUUUUUUAAAAAGAAAGGGAAGUCAAGAAAAGUUCUGUCUUCUGUUACUGGCACAAAUCUGGGCUUAGUAGAGCCAUCCCAGUUUCUAAACCCUACCAGUGUAAUAUGCAAAUAUCAAUGGCUUGAGUAG
Molecule: long non-coding RNA, 219 nt
Filed under: Vulpes vulpes (red fox)
Lineage: Eukaryota; Metazoa; Chordata; Mammalia; Carnivora; Canidae
Description: lncRNA (ENSVVUG00000008149.1)
Source: RNAcentral